AUCUAAUACUGGCAAUCUCAUCCAAGAAACUACAUCUCUAGUGGCUUUGGUGUUUGCCAACCUUCCUUACGUAUUUCUUUCUUUAGAAAUCAGCCUACGGGACGAUGCUCCAAUGGUCUUUUUAUGAUUAACUAUAUUGGGAGAUCGAUGGUAAUGAUUAUAAUCAUCCCUUCUUCCUAGGCAAAACCAUGGACAACCUGCAACAGGGUUUGGUGCUUCAUAUUAUUCAAUCCAUCAAAACAAUUGCUAUGGAUUUGACAUGGACUCUCUACAAAAAGCAUGUCGUGGAAGUAGAGGACAAUAUAAUUUUUAUCUAAGCAAUGUAUGUGGAGUUCCAGAAGCUACAGUAUGUCCCAUUCUUUGUGCACAUAUCAAUUGGGAUGACAUUCAUUUAAAUCAGUUGGGAUGACAUUCAUUUGUCAAAGAAGGCAUACAAGAACAAGGCCUAGGGUAUUUGAGAUCUUACAUAAACUCAAUUGUUUAUUUUAGGAUUU
This is a long non-coding RNA of Macadamia integrifolia, 494 nucleotides long. RefSeq lists it as uncharacterized. NCBI's taxonomy places the organism in Eukaryota, Viridiplantae, Streptophyta, Magnoliopsida, Proteales, Proteaceae. The transcript is spliced from 3 exons. The record is from RefSeq and is a predicted model, not a curated record.